Morus notabilis is the source of this 242-nucleotide long non-coding RNA. RefSeq lists it as uncharacterized. Lineage: Eukaryota; Viridiplantae; Streptophyta; Magnoliopsida; Rosales; Moraceae. The record is from RefSeq and is a predicted model, not a curated record. The transcript is spliced from 3 exons.
CUCUUUUUUUUGUGCAAUCUUCUUGGUCUUUCUCAUUUCCUUUUCGGUUUAUGUUCUUUUGCCUUCUCCGGCGGUUGAUCUUUGGCUUUGAUUUGCGCUGAGAGAGCUUAUGAAGAUCGGUGCAUUCUAUGGCAUAUUAAAUGACUUUGUUCUAUUAUUCAAAAUCCGUCCCUAUUUUGCGAAGAAAAUUUUUUUGCCUCUUCUGUUUGCUGCCUCUUAUCUUUUUUUCCCCUGUAAUUUUU